UGGAGAUGUGACUCAGUGGUACAGCACUUGCCUGACAUGAUUGAGCCUCUGGGUUCAAUCCCCAGCACUUAAA
Molecule: transfer RNA, 73 nt
Filed under: Marmota monax (woodchuck)
Lineage: Eukaryota; Metazoa; Chordata; Mammalia; Rodentia; Sciuridae
Description: tRNA.Val
Source: RNAcentral